GACGAACGCUGGCGGCGUGCUUAACACAUGCAAGUCGAACGGAAAGGCCCUGCUUUUGUGGGGUGCUCGAGUGGCGAACGGGUGAGUAACACGUGAGUAACCUGCCCUUGUCUUUGGGAUAACUUCAGGAAACUGGGGCUAAUCCCGGAUAGGAGCUCCUGCUGCAUGGUGGGGGUUGGAAAGUUUCGGCGGUUGGGGAUGGACUCGCGGCUUAUCAGCUUGUUGGUGGGGUAGUGGCUUACCAAGGCUUUGACCGGUAGCCGGCCUGUGAGGGUGACCGGCCACAUUGGGACUGAGAUACGGCCCAGACUCCUACGGGAGGCAGCGGUGGGGAAUAUUGCACAAUGGACAGAAGCCUGAUGCAGCAACGCCGCGUGCGGGAUGACGGCCUUCGGGUUGUAAACCGCUUCAGCCUGUGACGAAGCGUGAGUGACGGUAAUGGGUAAAGAAGCACCGGCUAACUACGUG
This 468-nucleotide ribosomal RNA is filed under the name uncultured bacterium. RNAcentral describes it as "partial 16S ribosomal RNA". It matches the Rfam family "Bacterial small subunit ribosomal RNA", at positions 28 to 507 of the family's 1533-position model. The record is from RNAcentral.